This 432-nucleotide ribosomal RNA is filed under the name uncultured bacterium. Its description in RNAcentral is "bacterial SSU rRNA". It matches the Rfam family "Bacterial small subunit ribosomal RNA", at positions 33 to 507 of the family's 1533-position model. The record is from RNAcentral.
GACGACGCUGGCGGCAGGCUUAACACAUGCAAGUCGAGCGCCCUGCUUGCAGGGAGCGGCAGACGGGUGAGUAACGCGUGGGAACGUGCCCUUCGGUACGGAAUAGCCCCGGGAAACUGGGUGUAAUACCGUAUACGACCUCCGGGUGAAAGAUUUAUCGCCGAAGGAUCGGCCCGCGUUGGAUUAGCUUGAUGGUGGGGUAACGGCCUACCAUGGCGACGAUCCAUAGCUGUUCUGAGAGGAAGAUCAGCCACACUGGGACUGAGACACGGCCCAGACUCCUACGGGAGGCAGCAGUGGGGAAUAUUGGACAAUGGGCGAAAGCCUGAUCCAGCCAUGCCGCGUGGAUGAAGAAGGCCCUAGGGUUGUAAAGUCCUUUCGGCGGUGAAGAUAAUGACGGUAACCACAAAAGAAGCCCCGGCUAAUUUCGUG